AAUUACUUUUAACAAAUUCAACACAGCCAAGAGAAGUAGUAUGAAUUUCUCAACCAUUGUUUUAUAUCCAACAGUACUUACCAUGGGCUGAAGAUGUAGACAAGUCCUCGUUGAAUGGGUUCCAGAAAAGUUGUUCUUGCACACCAAGUGUAGUCAGGUUACAUGGAAAGGAUGGAACAUCGUGCAUGUGUGAGUUUGAAGAAGGAAACGUUCAUGCCCUAGUUUACCCAAAUCUUAUCCUGAGAGGGCACGACAUUGAAAUCGUUCCCAACGUGAUAAGCUUGGAAGAAUGCAUCUGGCUCUGUGCUAAAGACAGCCGUUGUAAGUCUGCUCGGGUGAACAUGUGGGGAGGAACCUGGCAGUGCUACAUGAAGAAUAAUAACCACGAGGAUUCACCCGACGACUUUGGAGGGGUGAACAUGGGCCUUUAUUUCUACCUGGUUGGCCGAUAAUAGUUAAUCAAAGCUUUUGAAAAGGACUUUAACCAAUAAACGGUUACAGAAACACU
Molecule: long non-coding RNA, 508 nt
Organism: Limulus polyphemus (Atlantic horseshoe crab)
Lineage: Eukaryota; Metazoa; Arthropoda; Merostomata; Xiphosura; Limulidae
Exons: 3
Source: RefSeq, a predicted model, not a curated record